GACGAACGCUGGCGGCGUGCUUAACACAUGCAAGUCGAACGGAAAGGCCUGCUUUCCCUUGUGGAUUGCGGGUACUCGAGUGGCGAACGGGUGAGUAACACGUGAGUGAUCUGCCCCCAACUUGGGUAUAAGCCUGGGAAACUGGGUCUAAUUCCCGAUAGGACUGCAGGGUGGUGCCUGUGGUGGAAAACGAUUUUCUAGUGGUUGGGGAUGAGCUCGCGGCCUAUCAGCUUGUUGGUGGGGGAAUGGCCUACCAAGGCGGCGACGGGUAGCCGGCCUGAGAGGGUGGACGGCCACAUUGGGACUGAGAUACGGCCCAGACUCCUACGGGAGGCAGCAGUGGGGAGUAUUGCGCAAUGGGCGGAAGCCUGAUGCAGCGACGCCGCGUGGGGGAUGACGGCCUUCGGGUUGUAAACUCCUUUCGACCGCGAGGAAGCCACCUGGUUGGAAGGGUGGUGACGGUAGUGGUAGAAGAAGCACCGGCUAACUACGUG
RNAcentral lists this ribosomal RNA (494 nucleotides) under uncultured bacterium. Its description in RNAcentral is "partial 16S ribosomal RNA". It matches the Rfam family "Bacterial small subunit ribosomal RNA", at positions 28 to 507 of the family's 1533-position model. The record is from RNAcentral.